UGCUCUGGUGGCUUAGUGGUUAGGUUAUCCUCCUUGGAUGUGGGAGGUGACAGGUUAAAAUCCUGGCCGAGUCA
Non-coding RNA from Potamilus streckersoni, 74 nucleotides. The record is from the annotation of a GenBank genome assembly. Lineage: Eukaryota; Metazoa; Mollusca; Bivalvia; Unionida; Unionidae.